GCCUGGCCAGCUCAGUUGGUGGAGCAUCCAACUUCGGCUCAGGUCAUGAUCUUGCAGUUGAGUUCGUGGGUUCAAGUCCCAUGUCAGGCU
Molecule: transfer RNA, 90 nt
Filed under: Felis catus (domestic cat)
Lineage: Eukaryota; Metazoa; Chordata; Mammalia; Carnivora; Felidae
Rfam family: tRNA
About the family: Transfer RNA (tRNA) molecules are approximately 80 nucleotides in length.
Source: Rfam by way of RNAcentral